This 460-nucleotide ribosomal RNA is filed under the name uncultured bacterium. Its description in RNAcentral is "partial 16S ribosomal RNA". It matches the Rfam family "Bacterial small subunit ribosomal RNA", at positions 338 to 795 of the family's 1533-position model. The record is from RNAcentral.
CCUACGGGUGGCUGCAGUGAGGAAUAUUGGUCAAUGGGCGUAAGCCUGAACCAGCCAAGUCGCGUGAGGGAUGAAGGUUCUACGGAUCGUAAACCUCUUUUAUAAGGGAAUAAAGUGCGGGACGUGUCCCGCAUUGCAUGUACCCUAUGAAUAAGGAUCGGCUAACUCCGUGCCAGCAGCCGCGGUAAUACGGAGGAUCCAUGCGUUAUCCGGAUUUAUUGGGUUUAAAGGGUGCGUAGGCGGCCUGUUAAGCCGGCGGUGAAAGUCUGUGGCUCAACCAUGGAAUUGCAGUUGAAACUGGGAGGCUUGAGUAUGUGUGAGGCAGGCGGAAUGCGUGGUGUAGCGGUGAAAUGCUUAGAUAUCACGAAGAACCCCGAUUGCGAAGGCAGCCUGCCGAACCAUGACUGACGCUGAUGCACGAAAGCGUGGGGAUCGAACAGGAUUAGAUACCCGAGUAGUC